AACGAACGCUGGCGGCGUGCCUAACACAUGCAAGUCGAGCGCGAAUAGGGGCAACCCUUAGUAGAGCGGCGCACGGGUGCGUAACACGUGGGUAAUCUGCCUGGGAGAUUGGGAUAACCUGCCGAAAGGCUGGCUAAUACCAGAUAAGCUCACGGGCUCUUCGGAGCCUGAGAGAAAAGGUGGCCUCUGUAUACAAGCUAUCACUUCCAGAUGAGCCCGCGGCCCAUCAGCUAGUUGGCGGGGUAAUGGCCCACCAAGGCAACGACGGGUAGCUUGUCUGAGAGGACGAUCAGCCACACUGGAACUGAGACACGGUCCAGACUCCUACGGGAGGCAGCAGUGGGGAAUUUUGCACAAUGGGCGAAAGCCUGAUGCAGCAACGCCGCGUGUGUGAUGAAGGUCUUCGGAUUGUAAAGCACUUUCGACCGGGACGAAAACCCGUUGGCUAACAUCCAGUGGCUUGAUGGUACCGGGAGAAGAAGCACCGGCUAACUCUGUGCCAGCCGCCGCAGUAA
This 515-nucleotide ribosomal RNA is filed under the name uncultured bacterium. RNAcentral's name for it is "partial 16S ribosomal RNA". It matches the Rfam family "Bacterial small subunit ribosomal RNA", at positions 29 to 523 of the family's 1533-position model. The record is from RNAcentral.